GAUCCUGGCUCAGGAUGAACGCUAGCUACAGGCUUAACACAUGCAAGUCGAGGGGAACGACAUCGAAAGCUUGCUUUUGAUGGGCGUCGACCGGCGCACGGGUGAGUAACGCGUAUCCAACCUGCCCAUCACUUGGGAAGUAACCUUGCGAAAGUAAGACUAAUGCCCAAUGAUAUCCCACGAAGGCAUCCGAAUGGGAUUAAAGAUUUAUCGGUGAUGGAUGGGGAUGCGUCUGAUUAG
Molecule: ribosomal RNA, 240 nt
Filed under: uncultured bacterium
Lineage: Bacteria
Description: partial 16S ribosomal RNA
Rfam family: Bacterial small subunit ribosomal RNA
Source: RNAcentral